RNAcentral lists this transfer RNA (71 nucleotides) under Loxodonta africana (African savanna elephant). It matches the Rfam family "tRNA". From Rfam's summary of the family: Transfer RNA (tRNA) molecules are approximately 80 nucleotides in length. Their secondary structure includes four short double-helical elements and three loops (D, anti-codon, and T loops). Lineage: Eukaryota; Metazoa; Chordata; Mammalia; Proboscidea; Elephantidae. The record is from Rfam by way of RNAcentral.
ACAUUGGUGGUUUAGUGGUAGAAUUCUUGCCUUCCACAUGAGAGACCUGGGUUCAAUUCCUGGCCAGUGCA